CCCGUGUUUACGCAGUGCUGAAUCCCUCUUUUCUUUGAAGGCAAGCAUCUUGCAAGUUGAACUAAGGACAGCAAAGCACUGGGCAGAAGAGCUUGUCUGAAUGAAGAGGAGCCACAUGUGCAAGGAAUGCRUAAGGAAUCAUCCAGCUUUCCUUCCCUUUGCAGCAAGCAAGGUGUCAUCUUCUAAUGAACUUUGCAGUACCAACUAUCUCUGGCCCAUAGGGAUGCAAAGACGAGACUGCAGAAUUGACAGGUUUUCCAUGGUUGUGCAUGAUAUCUAAAAUCCCCAGGAUAUCCUUCAACACAUGAUUUCAUGAACACAGAAGCAAAUACAUUGUAAACGUACCUCUGGGCCUGGAGCAGCUGACAACCUGUGCAGACCGCGCAGACACUGGCCACUUCAGGAGGGUUCAGGUGGAUGGUGUGGGUACCUGAUACGUGGAAACUUCUGCAGUCACCUUUGCAGAGAGGACCUGGAGAC
Molecule: long non-coding RNA, 480 nt
Organism: Nothoprocta perdicaria
Lineage: Eukaryota; Metazoa; Chordata; Aves; Tinamiformes; Tinamidae
Exons: 6
Source: RefSeq, a predicted model, not a curated record